CUAUUUCAAAUUUCAAGUUUUAAUACCAUCCAGAAUUCCAAAGGACUAAUGAUGAAAUAGGCUACCCAAGUCUUUACAGAGAGGUGAUGGGCUUGAGAUGUAGAAUGAAAUCUGCAUUUUUGGACACAGUCAACAUGGAAAUUUGUUUUGCUAGACUACUGUUAGGAGAGGAUUUGGAAACUUCUUUGCUCAUUCUGGUAAUUGGCCCAUAUAUGCCCACUCUGCUUUCUUGGAACCUCAUCAAGUUGUUCCUGCAGUUCUGGAAGCCUGGUGCUCUGGAAAGAACUAGGCUAAACUACAUGGUUGGAUGUGUGAGAGCCUUGAUAAAUAAUGACCCUAUCCCAGCAGAGAAAAAAGAGAGAAAAUAAGAUGGUGACAGUUUCAAUUUACUUUCACAAGGUGAGUAUGGGG
RNAcentral lists this long non-coding RNA (411 nucleotides) under Monodelphis domestica (gray short-tailed opossum). RNAcentral describes it as "lncRNA (ENSMODG00000035100.2)". The record is from RNAcentral. Lineage: Eukaryota; Metazoa; Chordata; Mammalia; Didelphimorphia; Didelphidae.